UACAGAGGGUGCAAGCGUUAAUCGGAAUUACUGGGCGUAAAGCGUGCGUAGACGGUUAUUUAAGUCAGGUGUGAAAGCCCCGGGCUCAACCUGGGAAUUGCAUUUGAGACUGAAUAGCUAGGGUGCGGAAGAGGGAAGCGGAAUUUCCGGUGUAGCGGUGGAAUGCGUAGAUAUCGGAAGGAACACCAGUGGCGAAAGCGGCUUCCUGGCCCAGCACCGACGUUCAGGCACGAAAGCGUGGGGAGCAAACAGG
RNAcentral lists this ribosomal RNA (253 nucleotides) under uncultured bacterium. RNAcentral describes it as "partial 16S ribosomal RNA". It matches the Rfam family "Bacterial small subunit ribosomal RNA", at positions 524 to 776 of the family's 1533-position model. The record is from RNAcentral.